This is a long non-coding RNA of Gopherus flavomarginatus (Mexican gopher tortoise), 570 nucleotides long. RefSeq lists it as uncharacterized. The transcript is spliced from 4 exons. NCBI's taxonomy places the organism in Eukaryota, Metazoa, Chordata, Testudines, Testudinidae. The record is from RefSeq and is a predicted model, not a curated record.
GGGCAGGGUCGCCCUUUACCCAAGGUGCCCUAGGGCAGGGUGAUGGGCACGUUACCCAUGGUGCCCUGGGGCAGGGUCGCCCUUUACCCAAGGUGCCCUAGGGCGGGGUGAUGGACACGUUACCCAUGGUGCCCUGGGGCAGGGUCGCCCUGUACCAAAGGUGCCCUAGGGCGGGGUGAUGGGCACGUUACCCAUGGUGCCCUGGGGCAGGGUCGCCCUUUACCCAAGGUGCCCUAGGGCGGGGUGAUGGGCACGUUACCCAUGGUGCCCUGGGGCAGGGUCGCCCUUUACCCAAGGUGCCCUAGGGCGGGGUGAUGGGCACGUUACCCAUGGUGCCCUAGGCCCGCCCUCAUGCCAGUUGCCAUCACCCCUGGGCGGCCUCGCGCGGGGCGGCCAGGCCGUUGCCAUGGUUACCUAUGGGCCGCGGUGUAGCCGGGCCCCCUGCGGCCCGGCGGCUGGAGGUGCUGGUCCACCGCCGUGACCCGCUCCCCGAGCAGCGCGUCCACAUCGAAGGGGAACUCCAUAGCCCGCCAGCAUCCGGGUCCUGCUGCUCGCCCCCUGCCCCGCCCU